RNAcentral lists this ribosomal RNA (497 nucleotides) under uncultured bacterium. Its description in RNAcentral is "partial 16S ribosomal RNA". It matches the Rfam family "Bacterial small subunit ribosomal RNA", at positions 28 to 507 of the family's 1533-position model. The record is from RNAcentral.
GAUGAACGCUGGCGGCGUGCCUAAUACAUGCAAGUCGAGCGAACAGAUGAGGAGCUUGCUCCUCUGACGUUAGCGGCGGACGGGUGAGUAACACGUGGAUAACCUACCUAUAAGACUGGGAUAACUUCGGGAAACCGGAGCUAAUACCAGAUAAUAUAUUGAACCGCAUGGGUCAAUAGUGAAAGACGGUUUUGCUGUCACUUAUAGAUGGAUCCGCGCCGCAUUAGCUAGUUGGUAAGGUAACGGCUUACCAAGGCUACGAUGCGUAGACGACCUCAAAGGGUGCUCGCCCACCCUGGAACUGAGACACGGUCCAGCCUCCUGCGGGAGGCAGCAGUAGCGAAUCUCCCGCAAUGGGCGAAAGCCUGACGGAGCAACGCCGCGUGAGUGAUGAAGGUCUUCGGAUCGUAAAACUCUGUUAUUAGGGAGGAACAAAUGUGUAAGUAACUAUGCACGUCUUGACGGUACCUAAUCAGAAAGCCACGGCUAACUACGUG